UCUUUAACAAAAAUGAGGCAACGUUAACUUAAAUACAAGGUUGUGUUUGUGGGUUGAGGCUAAGUGCAGGGAACUCCAGAUGAGAUUAGCAUUACUUAGGUGAAAGCAGCAGCAGUCAAGAUCUGGAUUUGGGGCCAAGGUAAAUAAGAAGUUGAAACAAGGACUGCAGACUUGUGUAUGCCUCGGUGUCUUUGGUCAUGUAAAGAGCUCUCUG
RNAcentral lists this long non-coding RNA (214 nucleotides) under Struthio camelus australis. RNAcentral describes it as "lncRNA (ENSSCUG00000002207.1)". Lineage: Eukaryota; Metazoa; Chordata; Aves; Struthioniformes; Struthionidae. The record is from RNAcentral.